AAUAUUCCUGUACUUGGUGUUACUGCGAAGGGGGGACGGAGAAGGCUAUGUUGGCCGGGCGACGGUUGUCCCGGUUUAAGCGUGUAGGCUGGUUUUCCAGGCAAAUCCGGAAAAUCAAGGCUGAGGCGUGAUGACGAGGCACUACGGUGCUGAAGCGACAAAUGCCCUGCUUCCAGGAAAAGCCUCUAAGCAUCAGGUAACAUCAAAUCGUACCCCAAACCGACACAGGUGGUCAGGUAGAGAAUACCAAGGCGCUUGAGAGAACUCGGGUGAAGGAACUAGGCAAAAUGGUGCCGUAACUUCGGGAGAAGGCACGCUGAUAUGUAGGUGAAGCGACUUGCUCGUGGAGCUGAAAUCAGUCGAAGAUACCAGCUGGCUGCAACUGUUUAUUAAAAACACAGCACUGUGCAAACACGAAAGUGGACGUAUACGGUGUGACGCCUGCCCGGUGCCGGAAGGUUAAUUGAUGGGGUUAGCGGUAACGCGAAGCUCUUGAUCGAAGCCCCGGUAAACGGCGGCCGUAACUAUAACGGUCCUAAGGUAGCGAAAUUCCUUGUCGGGUAAGUUCCGACCUGCACGAAUGGCGUAAUGAUGGCCAGGCUGUCUCCACCCGAGACUCAGUGAAAUUGAACUCGCUGUGAAGAUGCAGUGUACCCGCGGCAAGACGGAAAGACCCCGUGAACCUUUACUAUAGCUUGACACUGAACAUUGAGCCUUGAUGUGUAGGAUAGGUGGGAGGCUUUGAAGUGUGGACGCCAGUCUGCAUGGAGCCGACCUUGAAAUACCACCCUUUAAUGUUUGAUGUUCUAACGUGGGCCCCUUACCGGGGUUGCGGACAGUGUCUGGUGGGUAGUUUGACUGGGGCGGUCUCCUCCUAAAGAGUAACGGAGGAGCACGAAGGUUGGCUAAUCCUGGUCGGACAUCAGGAGGUUAGUGCAAUGGCAUAAGCCAGCUUGACUGCGAGCGUGACGGCGCGAGCAGGUGCGAAAGCAGGUCAUAGUGAUCCGGUGGUUCUGAAUGGAAGGGCCAUCGCUCAACGGAUAAAAGGUACUCCGGGGAUAACAGGCUGAUACCGCCCAAGAGUUCAUAUCGACGGCGGUGUUUGGCACCUCGAUGUCGGCUCAUCACAUCCUGGGGCUGAAGUAGGUCCCAAGGGUAUGGCUGUUCGCCAUUUAAAGUGGUACGCGAGCUGGGUUUAGAACGUCGUGAGACAGUUCGGUCCCUAUCUGCCGUGGGCGCUGGAGAACUGAGGGGGGCUGCUCCUAGUACGAGAGGACCGGAGUGGACGCAUCACUGGUGUUCGGGUUGUCAUGCCAAUGGCACUGCCCGGUAGCUAAAUGCGGAAGAGAUAAGUGCUGAAAGCAUCUAAGCACGAAACUUGCCCCGAGAUGAGUUCUCCCUGACUCCUUGAGAGUCCUGAAGGAACGUUGAAGACGACGACGUUGAUAGGCCGGGUGUGUAAGCGCAGCGAUGCGUUGAGCUAACCGGUACUAAUGAACCGUGAGGCUUAACCUUACAACGCCGAAG
Molecule: ribosomal RNA, 1527 nt
Filed under: Escherichia coli
Lineage: Bacteria; Pseudomonadati; Pseudomonadota; Gammaproteobacteria; Enterobacterales; Enterobacteriaceae
Description: partial 23S ribosomal RNA
Rfam family: Bacterial large subunit ribosomal RNA
Source: RNAcentral